UACGAAGGGGGCUAGCGUUGUUCGGAAUUACUGGGCGUAAAGGGCGCGUAGGCGGUCCUGAUCGUCGGAUGUGAAAGGCCUGGGCUCAACCUGGGAACUGCAUCCGAUACGGCGGGACUGGAGUAUGGAAGAGGUAUGUGGAACUCCGAGUGUAGAGGUGAAAUUCGUAGAUAUUCGGAAGAACACCAGUGGCGAAGGCGACAUACUGGUCCAUUACUGACGCUGAGGCUCGAAAGCGUGGGGAGCAAACAGG
RNAcentral lists this ribosomal RNA (253 nucleotides) under uncultured bacterium. RNAcentral's name for it is "partial 16S ribosomal RNA". It matches the Rfam family "Bacterial small subunit ribosomal RNA", at positions 524 to 776 of the family's 1533-position model. The record is from RNAcentral.